AACGAACGCUGGCGGCAUGCCUAACACAUGCCAGUCGAACGAGACCUUCGGGUCUAGUGGCGCACGGGUGCGUAACGCGUGGGAACCUGCACUUAGGUUCGGCAUAACUCCCCGAAAGGGGUGCUAAUACCGGAUAAUGUCUUCGGACCAAAGAUUUAUCGCCUUUGGAUGGGCCCGCGUUGGAUUCGCUAGUUGGUAGGGUAAAAGCCUACCAAGGCGACGAUCCAUAGCUGGUCUGAGAGGAUGAUCAGCCACACUGGGACUGAGACACGGCCCAGACUCCUACGGGAGGCAGCAGUGGGGAAUAGUGGACAAUGGGCGAAGUCCUGAUCCAGCAAUGCCGGGUGAGUGAUGAAGGCCUUAGGGUUGUAAAGCUCUUUUACCCGGGAUGAUAAUGACAGUACCGGGAGAAUAAGCUCCGGCUAACUCCGUG
Molecule: ribosomal RNA, 433 nt
Filed under: uncultured bacterium
Lineage: Bacteria
Description: partial 16S ribosomal RNA
Rfam family: Bacterial small subunit ribosomal RNA
Source: RNAcentral